Molecule: ribosomal RNA, 521 nt
Filed under: uncultured bacterium
Lineage: Bacteria
Description: bacterial SSU rRNA
Rfam family: Bacterial small subunit ribosomal RNA
Source: RNAcentral
AGAACUUAGCAGAGAUGCUUUUGGGUGCCCUUCGGGAACUCUGAGACAGGUGCUGCAUGGCUGUCGUCAGCUCGUGUUGUGAAAUGUUGGGUUAAGUCCCGCAACGAGCGCAACCCUUAUCCUUUGUUGCCAGCGGUUAGGCCGGGAACUCAAAGGAGACUGCCAGUGAUAAACUGGAGGAAGGUGGGGAUGACCGUCAAGUCAUCAUGGCCCUUACGAGUAGGGCUACACACGUGCUACAAUGGCGCAUACAAAGAGAAGCGACCUCGCGAGAGCAAGCGGACCUCAUAAAGUGCGUCGUAGUCCGGAUUGGAGUCUGCAACUCGACUCCAUGAAGUCGGAAUCGCUAGUAAUCGUGGAUCAGAAUGCCACGGUGAAUACGUUCCCGGGCCUUGUACACACCGCCCGUCACACCAUGGGAGUGGGUUGCAAAAGAAGUAGGUAGCUUAACCUUCGGGAGGGCGCUUACCACUUUGUGAUUCAUGACUGGGGUGAAGUCGUAACAAGGUAAGCGUAGUGCU